GGAGUUUGGACCGUGUCUCAGUUCCAAUGUGGGGGACCUUCCUCUCAGAACCCCUACUGAUCGUUGGCCAGGUGGGCCGUUACCCCGCCUGCAACCUAAUCAGACGCAUCCCCAUCCUGAGGCGAUGAAUCUUUCGUCACGCCCAGAUGCCUUUUCGUGACGGCAUAGGGUAUUAAUCCGGUUUUCACCGGGCUGUCCCCUGCCUCAGGGAAGGUUGGAUACGCGUUACUCACCCGUGCGCCGGUCGCCAUCGGAGAUAGCAAGCUACCUCCAUGCUGCCCCUCGACUUGCAUGUGUUAAGCCUGUAGCUAGCGUUCAUC
RNAcentral lists this ribosomal RNA (320 nucleotides) under uncultured Prevotella sp. RNAcentral's name for it is "partial 16S ribosomal RNA". The record is from RNAcentral. Lineage: Bacteria; Pseudomonadati; Bacteroidota; Bacteroidia; Bacteroidales; Prevotellaceae.